AGGACGAACGCUGGCGGCGUGCUUAACACAUGCAAGUCGAGCGGUAAGGCCUUUCGGGGUACACGAGCGGCGAACGGGUGAGUAACACGUGGGUGAUCUGCCCUGCACUCUGGGAUAAGCCUGGGAAACUGGGUCUAAUACCGGAUAUGACCUGCUCUCGCAUGGGGGUGGGUGGAAAGAUUUAUCGGUGCAGGAUGGGCCCGCGGCCUAUCAGCUUGUUGGUGGGGUAAUGGCCUACCAAGGCGACGACGGGUAGCCGACCUGAGAGGGUGACCGGCCACACUGGGACUGAGACACGGCCCAGACUCCUACGGGAGGCAGCAGUGGGGAAUAUUGCACAAUGGGCGAAAGCCUGAUGCAGCGACGCCGCGUGAGGAUGAAGGCCUUCGGGUUGUAAACCUCUUCAGCGAGGACGAAGCGCAAGUGACGGUACCUGCAGAAGAAGCACCGGCUAACUACGUGCCAGCAGCCGAC
RNAcentral lists this ribosomal RNA (474 nucleotides) under uncultured soil bacterium. Its description in RNAcentral is "bacterial SSU rRNA". It matches the Rfam family "Bacterial small subunit ribosomal RNA", at positions 26 to 518 of the family's 1533-position model. The record is from RNAcentral.